GAUGAACGCUGGCGGCGUGCCUAAUACAUGCAAGUCGAGCGAACAGAUAAGGAGCUUGCUCCUUUGAAGUUAGCGGCGGACGGGUGAGUAACACGUGGGUAACCUACCUAUAAGACUGGGAUAACUUCGGGAAACCGGAGCUAAUACCGGAUAACAUUUAGAACCGCAUGGUUCUAAAGUGAAAGAUGGUUUUGCUAUCACUUAUAGAUGGACCCGCGCCGUAUUAGCUAGUUGGUAAGGUAACGGCUUACCAAGGCGACGAUACGUAGCCGACCUGAGAGGGUGCUCGGCCACACUGGAACUGAGCCACGGUCCAGACUCCUACGGGAGGCAGCAGUAGGGAAUCUUCCGCAAUGGGCGAAAGCCUGACGGAGCAACGCCGCGUGAUUUAUGAAGGGUUUCGGCUCGUAAAACUCUGUUAUUAGGGAAGAACAAAUGUGUAAGUAACUGUGCACAUCUUGACGGUACCUAAUCAGAAAGCCACGGCUAACUACGUG
This 497-nucleotide ribosomal RNA is filed under the name uncultured bacterium. Its description in RNAcentral is "partial 16S ribosomal RNA". It matches the Rfam family "Bacterial small subunit ribosomal RNA", at positions 28 to 507 of the family's 1533-position model. The record is from RNAcentral.